RNAcentral lists this transfer RNA (74 nucleotides) under Caudoviricetes sp. Its description in RNAcentral is "tRNA-Lys". It matches the Rfam family "tRNA". From Rfam's summary of the family: Transfer RNA (tRNA) molecules are approximately 80 nucleotides in length. The record is from RNAcentral. Lineage: Duplodnaviria; Heunggongvirae; Uroviricota; Caudoviricetes.
GAGCUGUUAGCAUAGCUGGCUAAUGCACUUCCCUUUUAAGGAAGAAACCGACAGUUCGAAUCUGUCACAGCUCA